This 487-nucleotide ribosomal RNA is filed under the name uncultured bacterium. Its description in RNAcentral is "bacterial SSU rRNA". It matches the Rfam family "Bacterial small subunit ribosomal RNA", at positions 28 to 507 of the family's 1533-position model. The record is from RNAcentral.
GAUGAACGCUAGCGGCAGGCCUAACACAUGCAAGUCGAGGGGUAACAUAGGAAAGCUUGCUUUUCUGAUGACGACCGGCGCACGGGUGCGUAACGCGUAUACAACCUACCUUUUAGCGGGGAAUAGCCUAGGGAAACUUGGAUUAAUGCCCCAUAGUAUAUAGACUUCUCCUGAAGUUUAUAUUAAACAUUUAUGGCUAUUAGAUGGGUAUGCGUCCUAUUAGUUAGUUGGUAAGGUAACGGCUUACCAAGGCAGCGAUAGGUAGGGGUCCUGAGAGGGAGAUCCCCACACUGGUACUGAGACACGGACCAGACUCCUACGGGAGGCAGCAGUGAGGAAUAUUGGACAAUGGGCGAGAGCCUGAUCCAGCCAUGCCGCGUGCAGGAAGACUGCCCUAUGGGUUGUAAACUGCUUUUACAGAGGAAGAACCACCCCCACGUGUGGGGGUUUGACGGUACUCUGCGAAUAAGGAUCGGCUAACUCCGUG